AAUAUGUUUCGACAGCAACAAAAGAUUCUUCAACAAUCUAGAAUUGUUCAGAGCCAGAGACUGAAAACAAUUAGACAGUUAUAUGAGCAGUUCAUAAAGAGUAUGGAAGAGUUGGAGAAGAAUCAUGAUAAUCUACUUACUGGUGCACAAAAUGAAUUUAAAAAAGAAAUGGCUAUGUUGCAAAAAAAAAUUAUGAUGGAAACUGUAAGUGAUCAUAUUGAAAUUGAAAAAAUAAGGAUUAAUAUAAGCAAUGAAAUAUUUUAUUUGCUGAAAUAGGUAUAACACUUAACUAAAAAUUAAACAAAUGUUUAAUAUCUCCUUCCAUGAAACAGCAGCAGCAAGAGAUAGCAAGUGUUCGGAAGUCUCUUCAAUCCAUGUUAUUCUGAUGACUCUUUGAAGAAAGAACUUGAACCUAAGUAAUAUGAUACAAUUAUAACGUUAGCUAAGAAGCAUAUUGUAAGUCUUUAGAAUAGUUUAAUUGUAACAUCUUUAAUCAUAAACCUGUUUCAUUGUAAGACCUCCCUUUCUGUUAAGUCAAAUCUAAAUAGUUAUUAGUUAGCAACUAUUCCUAAAGAAUAUGUAUUAAGCUUUCAGCUCUUUAGUAAUGAUAGUGAAUUUUUCUCUCUAACACUGUCAAUUAAAUAAAGACGAUUUAAUUUUA
RNAcentral lists this small RNA (661 nucleotides) under Pongo abelii (Sumatran orangutan). Its description in RNAcentral is "retained intron". The record is from RNAcentral. Lineage: Eukaryota; Metazoa; Chordata; Mammalia; Primates; Hominidae.